Molecule: microRNA precursor, 82 nt
Organism: Pan troglodytes (chimpanzee)
Lineage: Eukaryota; Metazoa; Chordata; Mammalia; Primates; Hominidae
Rfam family: mir-3129 microRNA precursor family
Source: Rfam
GUUGUACUUGGGCAGUAGUGUAGAGAUUGGUUUGCCUGUUAAUGAAUUCAAACUAAUCUCUACACUGCUGCCCAAGAACAUC